GAUGAACGCUAGCGGCAGGCCUAAUACAUGCAAGUCGAACGAGAUUAAGAGGCUUGCUUCUUAUGAAAGUGGCGCACGGGUGCGUAACGCGUAUGCAACCUACCUUAAUCAGGGGGAUAGCCCGAAGAAAUUCGGAUUAAGACCGCAUAAAAACACAGGAUAGCAUUAUCCAAUGUUCAAAUAUUUAUAGGAUUAAGAUGGGCAUGCGUGUCAUUAGCUAGUUGGCGGGGUAACGGCCCACCAAGGCGACGAUGACUAGGGGAUCUGAGAGGAUGACCCCCCACACUGGUACUGAGACACGGACCAGACUCCUACGGGAGGCAGCAGUAAGGAAUAUUGGUCAAUGGAGGGAACUCUGAACCAGCCAUGCCGCGUGCAGGAAGACAGCCCUCUGGGUCGUAAACUGCUUUUAGUCGGGAAGAAACCUUUCUACGUGUAGGAAGCUGAAUGUACCGAAGGAAUAAGGAUCGGCUAACUCCGUG
Molecule: ribosomal RNA, 482 nt
Filed under: uncultured bacterium
Lineage: Bacteria
Description: partial 16S ribosomal RNA
Rfam family: Bacterial small subunit ribosomal RNA
Source: RNAcentral